AGGGUAUCGAUCCAUGACUUCUCUCUUGUUUUGUUUUCUGUUAAUAGCACACUGCUCCCGUACCCGAGCUCACGCAUGGGGAGCAGCCGGAGACCGUGACACCGCAGCGGCUGAGGCUGCUGACGCCAGCGAAGGUGGGAGGCAAAAACGUGAGCGAGAGGGGAACUUGGCUCAGGGCCACCCCUCCACUUUGUACGAUCGAGGAAAUCUAAAAUCCUCACUGCUGGUGACAGUGCCAGCUUUUAACGCUAGCUGCACCAGCACGGCGUAUUCAACUAUGUUAAUAUUUAAUUUUGGAAUUCAUCUAUUUUUUUUUUUCCCUUUGUGCAUCAUCCUGAAAUGUAUCUCCCCUAACGUCUGCCUGUUCGGUGAGGACAUUUACCUGCAGCCAACAUGAGCAGGGGAAUGCAGAGCCCGUGAGCUGUGGAGGAGGCACAUGCUUGGCUGAGCACUGCUGCUGACGGGGGUCUGUGCAAGGAUGCUCUGGGCUGCGCCGUGCGGUGAGUCACUGGAGUAGGACGGCACAAAAGCUCAUUUCCCUGCUUACUCAGAGGUAAUCAACCAGAAACAGCAGCGGAAGCUCUUCACAGGGAGGUUAUAAGCGUGCGUCUUGCCCCUUGGGCGCUGGGAAGUGUUUCUGUCGGAGCUAGGUAACUGCAAUCCUGCAAAAUGCCUCUGAAUGAAAAGGAGAGCUACCAAGCCCCAGUGCUUUCCUUGCCCAGCGGUGGAAGGGUGGGUGGGUUUGGUCCAACUUCAAAAUGGGAGUUUGGAUAAACACCUAGACGUGUAUGAGACCUGAAUGGAAAACCUGGGCUUGAGAAGUCCAUUAGGAACCGCUCAGCUGGUUCGAAGCACUCUGCUUUUGAUGAAGUGGCAUUUCCUGAUGAAAACCUGUUGUUUUGAUGGAAAAUUUCCCUCCAGCUGCAGGACACACCUCGCUGCCCGGCAGGGCUGCAAUCACCGGCGUCAGGAGGACAGGUGAGCAAGGAGGCCCGCUCAGCCCUCACCGGCCGUCAGGUCCAAAAAUUCCCCCUGAAACAGGUCAGGACCAGUGAGAAGCAGGAUGAGGUGCCGGCAGAUCAUCCUCCUCCCUCCUUCCCAUCUCCCUCAGCUGGCUGCUCUUCUCUGCCUGUUGACACAACGGGGCUAGGCAGGGCUCCUGUCUCCCUGAGCAGCUUCCAACUUGUUUAUUGACAAUGACAAAAGCGCAUUUUUACUUCUGUCAGCAGGGACAAUGCGGCUGUAAACGAGCAGGCUGCUUCGCCUCAUGCGUUAUCAGCAGAACUGCCAGCUAAGCACUAAUUCCUGAGCCCUUUUCUGGCUGAUUCUCAGCAAUGAUGUAUGGAGCAGAGCAGCAAAACAAGUUGCCUAUUUCCAUUUUGCUGUGCUGGUGGUUAGAAAAAAAAAUGACUUUAACCACUGAAGUGAUUAUACUGCAGAAAGAGGGGAUGCAGGUGCGUGCAGGUGAGCGUGCGGCCCCAACAUACCACUUCAUGGAUGUAUAUUUCUGAUCAGGAUUGAUAUAAAAUAACUGGGGGGUUGGUAAUAUCUAACUGUUUUGACAUAAUUCAGACUUUCUGACUAAAUCUGGUAAGAUGUAGAUAUCAGUAAUAAGGAGCUGAGGGCAGGGGGGUUAUUUGUGUGUUUCUCCAUCUAACAGUAAAUGUAUAUAAAAUAUAUGUAUAAGAAUACAAUAUAGCACAUUUAACGCAGAUUAUUGUAAGCCUAGCAUUGUAAGAAUAACAUUAGCUUGAGAUUGUUCCAGAAAGAUUGUUUUUGAUUAGCUUCAUCACCAUGCUUUCUGCACUGGAAACAUCAGCUCUGCUGCUUUGUUCCUUUAGCCUCCUCCCUUGGCACCGAGGGAGGGAAGGAAAGCAGUGGGGUGACAUUGCCGGCUUCACAAAAGGACAUGAGAGUGACACAAGAAUAAGACACGCCAAAGACACAGCAUGGAGUGGGCUGAACCAAAUAAACAUAAGCAAAUUUGUAACAAGUAAAACAGAGAAUAUUUAAGGUCACUUACUGGCAGGGGGAGGUUUAAGCAACACAUUUUUUUUAACCCGAUCUUUUGCAGCUUUUAAUAUACUUUUUCAUUGUCUGUUUUCUGGCCACACAGACGUCUGUGUUAUUGUUCACUUUUACCUUUCUCUCUAGUAUCAGGUCCUGUUACAGGCUUCUUGUUUUGAAACCCUUUUAAGGAAUUAAUGCAGAGAUUGUCACAGGCAGAAAUGGGAGCCAUGCUCUUUGGCUUCUGCCUCACAAUCAUCCUUCAGCAGCCAGCAGUGACAGCAUCUGGUGUGCAGGGGUUGGAUGGGACGGUCAGAGGAUGCCACAGCUCUGUUCUUUUUGAAGAAGCUCGUGUUUUUGUUAGCUCACAUUGACCAAGAUGUUGCAGCUUGUGCUCAGCCUCUGAGAAAAUGCUGGAUGCGGCUCAUGAAACAAGGCAGCCUGCAGCUGACGUGGCCGUGCAGAGCACAAAGCACUGAUCUCUUGCGAUAAAGCUCCUGACACGAGAUAGCACAGCCCUCCACACCAUCAGCUUCAAACGGCAGCAGGGGACUUGUGCUCAGCCUCAGCACUGAGCCCAGCUGGCAGCGCUGGAGUCGCCUCUGGGGAGGCAGAAUUUGAGCCAGGGCUGGUCCUGGUGCUGCUGCUCUUUGAGCAAGAGCACGCUGCACAGACUGGCUCCGACCAGCGGUCUGCAAGCACUUGGCAGAGGCUUUCUGCCAAAAAGGAGUAUAACAUAGCCACCUUUCUCACCAGUCACCCCCAACUCCCCGUGCUGUGGUCGCACCAUGUGAGUUAAGCUGCCACACGGAUGCCUUCGGCCCUCAGGCCAGGUAUUUUCAGAAAACAGCAGCAAACUUCAUCCAGGGGCACUCCUCCUGUGUUCCUGGGCGUUUUCGCCCUCCUCCGCCCAGCAGCAGCAGCAGCAGCAGCAGCUGUACAGGGGGAGUUUUCUGCUGGAUCGGCAGAGCCGCUGCACAACAUCUUUGAUCCAAAUGCGCCGUGUCAGUGCCAAAAAUGCCUUUUCGGAGGCGGGUCAGGGGGUGCGGCGGUGCUGCUGGGAUUGUGCUUGGAGCAGCAGCUGGAGGGGGGGGAGGGCUGCCAGAAACACCCUUCCUCAGCCAGCGCCCAUGGUUUGUAGAAAUGGGUCCUUUGUGCCGCUUUUUUACACGCUUCUAAAGAUGCUGGCUGCCACAAAACCACCCCUGCCAGCUCCCUGCCACAUUUUGGAAGCACAGCCCCUCAUCCAGGAGCUGGGCCAGCCCCAGCUGGGCUCCAGCACUGGCUCAGCCAGGGGGAAGCGACUUCCAAAAUCACUCUGUGAAGCUGCGUCUCAUUUAAAGUUGCAUGCCCAGGAGCAGACAGAAGAGGAAUUGUCAGCUGCGUUUCGCCCUGCUGCUCCAGAGCCCUCCGGUUUCACCUCCGACGGGACAGCUCGGGUCUGAGUGUUGGCACAAGAUGGGCUCCAUCCUGCCUUUGUGCUGUGCCACGGACCGGCUGCUGCCUGGUUUUCCUGGUGCCCGGGGCAGGAAGGGAUGGAAAGGGCUAAGUGAGAGGCCCUGUUUUCUCUCCGAGUUAUGAAAGAAGUUUAAACUUUUCUUACAGGUCAGUGGCCAGACAAUAUUCUGAAGUCAGUUCCACUCCAGGACUGAAGAAACUGAAGAGAAGUGAUUUGAAACAUUCCUGUUCAAGGCUUGCUUUGAGUGCAGCUUUCAUCAUGCCUGUGUAAACCCGAAGGAAAAUUACGUUUUAUUCACUGCAGAGUUCAUCGGGACCAUGCGUGAUGUCCACACUCACAAGUUAAUCAUAAAGUAAAUAUUUUGGGAGCAAACCAUGUAGGAGCCUGUGCUACCAGGCAGCGAUGGGAGUUGGCCACCAGUGGGGUUUCAGCAUGGGCUUGGUGUUGUGGUGUUUUUUGACAGAAGUGCUGACAGGCACCAGCAGCCCUGGCCAAAGCAAACAAGAGGAUUUUUCUUUCUCCCCUCUCCCUGAGCUAAAAGCAGUCCUUGGAGACAGAAAGCUGCAGCAUCGCAAGACUUUGGACCGAGAUGUGAGCUUUGGGACAUUCUUAUGGUUGCUUACAACCUGCCUGCAAACUCUUAAGCAAUGCCUUGGGGCCACGGGGAUUACGGGGCCCUGCUGGCUCUUGGGCCGAUGGUCAGAAACAGGCCAGGGUAGGCCAGUAGGGUCUGCGUGUGUUCUUCGAUGGGGCAAAGAUUAAUAAAUCUCCCAAUAAAUACCUGUUUCCUUAAGCCCUGCUGCUGUGUGCUUGUCACGAAGACCUGGCCUCCUCGUGUCCCUCCGGCUGGUUUCGUGGCUCACCAGGAGGGCCCAUGGCCGCGCGUCCUCUCGCUCUUUCCCCCAUGACAGGAAGGCUCGGGAACGGCAACACCCAGGUCUGCGUGCACCUUUCUGAGGAAACACGGUAGUGCUGGAUUGGGGAAUCCAUCUGGUGGCUCUUGGGGCCUGCAAAGCCGCUUCCCUGCCCAGCUCCACCUCAGCGGCCUCUUGCAGGCGAGGUGGGCCAGCAGGGAAAGCAGAAGCUGAGAGAGCUAAAAGCCUCGGGAAAUAAAAGCCAUUCCCCAGAAGGGAUCAACUCCUCUCCGUUCCUAUGUCGAGCUACAUCUAAACUCAUCUGCUUCUUAAUUGCAUCUUUAAGAGUCCCAGCCCUCCCCCAGUAAUGAUUUCUGAGGCCGCAGCAUGGCCCUUAAUGACAAACCAGGGCAGCAGGAGCGGGGCGUCAGGAGAGCUGAGAGCACCGCGUGGCACACGGCAAGAGAGCCUCGACUGUCUAAUGGCCUCUUCUGGCUCAGCGUCUGCCAAGUGUGGGCAGUGAAUAUUACUGUUUCCAAGAAAUGUCAUCGAAGCACCGCUCUGCAUUUCCUCAUGGUGUCAGAAACAAGCCACUGGGGAGCAGGGCACGCUCGAAACAGCAAAAGCGGCUCAGGAAAUCGCGGUUUCCUCACGGUACCGGGGGUGAGGAAGCAAAACUGCCUUGAUGGCAGCCGUCAACUCGCUACACCGACGUGGGUAACGGGGAUGCAGCAGCAGCACAUCUCCAGCAUCUUCAGCCUUCAAAUGAAUUCAGGGCUUUGCCUUCCAAAGAGUGUAUCGCUAGGUGCUCUCAUAUCCACAUGCAAGAUGCCACGAAGGAGAAGUAACAUGCAGUAGGACCAGCGUUAGUCAGGAAUGAGUUUCAGCUGUGUCCAGGAAGUUGAACCGUAAUCUCUGUAAUCACGUCUACAUGGAGGAAUGUGGAGAGGGAAGGAGAGGGAAGCUUCCCUGGCCCUACGUGUUUGGGAUGCAGCUGGGGGAACCUGGAGCUUCAGCAGGUUCUGCACUGGGCGCGGGUAUUUCAUGCCACACCUCACCUGUGCAGAGCAAUCUCUUCACAGAAAUACUUUCUGCGCAUCGUAUCGUGUGUCUGACCAUGCCGUAGCAUUUUCCAGUGUUUGUUAAAAUUACUGCA
This is a long non-coding RNA of Cygnus olor (mute swan), 5476 nucleotides long. RefSeq lists it as uncharacterized. The transcript has 4 exons. The record is from RefSeq and is a predicted model, not a curated record. NCBI's taxonomy places the organism in Eukaryota, Metazoa, Chordata, Aves, Anseriformes, Anatidae.